Liolophura sinensis is the source of this 1363-nucleotide long non-coding RNA. RefSeq lists it as uncharacterized. The record is from RefSeq and is a predicted model, not a curated record. The transcript is spliced from 4 exons. Lineage: Eukaryota; Metazoa; Mollusca; Polyplacophora; Chitonida; Chitonidae.
CCCCCAUUACAACUUCCGUUUUUCGGUAGGGACGAUUGUAGUUCUGUGAAUUUUAGGGUAUAAAGUCUUUUUUUGCUCCCAGGCGUCCAUUUUUGGUGCACAGGUGCAUGCUUGGUAUUAAAAUGCUGGAAACUGUCUAAACUUUGAGGAGGUAUGAGCUUUAUUGAUGAAAGUUUGAAAUUCUGGGCGAGAGGACACAAGGUGUGAGGUAGUGAUGAGGCUGCGAGUGACGUCCCCUUGGCGUUGCUAGGCACGCCUCCCAGCUGCCGGCAUGGAAAGGUCCAGAUUUUGACGGUCAACCUAUGUCAAGAUUUUUAUGGCUUCUUUCUCACAGGCUGGGCCAGGUAUGCACCAAAGCUUAAUGGCCACGGAAUGUUUGGGACUGAGCUACAGCGCUAGACGUUAACAUUGUCGCUUAUGGAAAAUUAAUGGGGGUCCGAGGCCUGUACUGACGAAGUCACCAAAAUGUGAAAAAUGUCACUAUGCGCUUAGAUUUCGCAGCAGCCUGAUAAUUUUUGGUGAAAUACUGGCGCCGACAGCUUGGAGUUUGGCAGCCGUGGACUUGUCCUGGCCAUUGUUAAGUCUGUGGAUUGUGGACGCCGCCCUUCCCUCCAUAUUUCUGCUGUAGUUUACAUUCUUGGGCAAGGAGACGCUGAGUGAUCUGUUGACAGCUUCGCACUUUUGAGUGCUGGUGUUCAUCCGGAGACUGGUGACGGCUGUCUCGCUCAACCUCAUGUGCAGUACUUCGGUCAAUAGUUUCCUGUCGUUGUCAUCCAUGUUAAAAGGGCAGAGUUUACUGGUGGAUAAAAACAGGGACCUCUCCCACCAGCUGCUGGUUUCCCCUCCGGAGCAAACCACACUGUUCCUGCGGCAUUUGGAACAGUCCCCACCGUAACACCUGACCGUUGCAUCCACAACCCUGGAUGCCAAUGUGACACCCUUUGAUGUUACUGUGCAGAGUAAUAACCUGCUGUGAGACAACAGCAAUGGUGCAGGGAGGUUUUUGCAUGAUAAACAUCUUGUCUUUCCAAAACAGUUGACCUGAUGGAGAUAUCUCGAACGGUAUAUGCACUGCAAGGCUUCAAAGUUUACCCCUCAGAGUUUUUUCACCCUGGAAAAAAGACACAUGUUCAAGAUGGGGGUACCCCAACUUGAAUUCAUUCAACUCCAAAGUUUCUGCAUGUAUCAAGCCCUAAUUUUGCCUGUGAGGUUCAGAAGUGUCAGGAAUUGUGUGGUGCAAAAAUUAUUGAUUUUGAAAAAAGGUGGCUGGUGUGAUAGGACACAGACCCCCAUUACAACUUCCGUUUUUCGGUAGGGACGAUUGUAGUUCUGUGAAUUUUAGGGUAUAAAGUCUUUUUUUGCU